CAAGAGCAAGAAAAAAAAAGUGUCCAUGGCUGCUCACGGCUAGAUUGGGGUUUAAAAAAAAAAAAUCAGUUUUGUUGCUUAGUAAAAAUUCUAAGGAGAAGACAAGGAGAUAGAGGUGGAGAAGCAAGAAUAAGUAUAAAGAUUUAAGACACAAAUUGGAGCCAAGUAUCCAAGGCGAAAAGAGCAACGAGGCAAAAGGGAUUCACGGAUAGUCGUCGACAGGUACAUACGACAGGUUCGCUGAUCCGCCCGCUUAGGAUCUUAUUCUGCUAUUCUGAGGCGCUCUCUUAUCCGGAGCCUAUAUUUUUGGUACAGUUUCCUGCUAUUGUAUAAAUGUACGUCACUCAGGGGUACGACGGGGCCCUGUCCCGUCAUAUGAUUCUGUCGGUCUGUUUAGAGGUCUGUGGACAUGUUUGUGAGUUGGGGGUCUUCCUGUAUGAAUGCGUGUAUAUGUUGUGUUUGGGCGAUCCCAUUCGCCGCGGCGGCCGGUCCGCAUAUGUUUAAAUGUUGCUUUGUUGGCCCUGUGUGGCCUUUGUUGGUAUUUUCUGUGCGCAGGGUAUAUUGGAUAGUCCGUAAAACAAAGGAAACUCUGCCGAAAUUUUUCUGGAAAUUAUCUAAAUUUAAAAUAUAGUCUUGUCGGCUUCUGCUAUAUACUGGAAUGCGGUUAAUAAAAUUUGAGAUAGCAUUUGAUAGAUGUGUCUGGGUGCCCAGAUCGGGCACUAGUCACGGCCUACGGGGUUAGGUCG
Lycium barbarum (goji berry) is the source of this 746-nucleotide long non-coding RNA. RefSeq lists it as uncharacterized. NCBI's taxonomy places the organism in Eukaryota, Viridiplantae, Streptophyta, Magnoliopsida, Solanales, Solanaceae. The record is from RefSeq and is a predicted model, not a curated record. The transcript is spliced from 3 exons.